UGGCGAAAGGGUUAGUAAUAGAUAGGUAACGUACCCUGAGCUUCGGGAAAGUGUCAGUUGCUUCGGCAACUUUCCGAAAGGGGCAGUAAUACCGGAUAAUAUCAUUUGUUGAUGGGCAAAUGAUCAAAGAUUUAUCGGCGCAGGAGCGGCCUAUCUCCUAUCAGCUAGUUGGUGAGGUAACGGCCCACCAAGGCAAUGACGGGUAGCGGGACUGAGAGGUUGACCCGCAACAUCGGGACUGAGACACUGCCCGGACCUCCACGGAGGGCUGCAGUAACGAAUAUUGGGCAAUGGGCGCAAGCCUGACCCAGCGACGCCGCGUGUGGGAAGAAGUCCUUCGGGAUGUAAACCACUGUCAGGGGUAAGAAAGUCCGCUUCGGCGGAUUGAUCUCCCCCAGAGGAAGUCACGGCUAACUUCGUGCCAGCAGCCGCGGUAAGACGAAGGUGGCGAGCGUUGUUCGGUGUCACUGGGCUUAAAGCGUGUGUAGGCGGAAAGGAAAGCGUCUUGUUAAAUCCCUCGGCUUAACCGAGGAAUCGCUGGGCGAACUUCCUUUCUUGAGGCAAGUAGGGGUGCAUGGAACUCUUGGUGGAGCGGUGGAAUGCGUAGAUAUCAAGAGGAACGCCGGUGGUGAAGACGGUGCACUAGGCUUGUUCUGACGCUGAGACACGAAAGCGUGGGGAGCAAACGGGAUUAGAUACCCCGGUAGUCCACGCCCUAAACGAUGUCUACUAGGUUGCGGCAGUUCUGACACUGGCGUGGCCGAAGCAAAAGUGUUAAGUAGACCGCCUGGGAAGUACGGUCGCAAGGCUAAACUCAAGGAAUUGACGGGGGCUCACACAAGCGGUGGAGCAUGUGGAUCAAUUCG
RNAcentral lists this ribosomal RNA (866 nucleotides) under uncultured bacterium. RNAcentral describes it as "bacterial SSU rRNA". It matches the Rfam family "Bacterial small subunit ribosomal RNA", at positions 96 to 953 of the family's 1533-position model. The record is from RNAcentral.